UAUUUAUGAUUCUCAUAUUUAUUAUUUCCCGCAUUGCAGCUUCAACCAUUUCCGUCCAAAUCCGCCCACCCUUCUCCAGAGUGCCCCCGCCGCCCGCGACGAGCCGCACCCGCCGCCGGAGAAUCUGAUCUAAUCCGACGGCCCUGAUCGCAUCCGAGCAACUAAUUAACAAUCCCGUAAAACUAGUCGCCCCCUUCUCCCUCUUAAAUUAGCAAGAGGGUCGCCGCCCAACUCCGAUUCUAGGGUUUGGUUUCCAUUUCUUCUGGAAUCUCGAACCUGUGUCGUGUUUCCUUUCGAUUUCGAGGGGGGUUUCUUCGGAUGGCCACGAGCUUUGAUCGAUGGGAGAAAGAUCCUUUCUUCUCCGCCGCCGAGGAGGUCCAGGAAGCCGCCGAUAGGUUGGAAUCGAUUUAUAGGCAGUGGAUCCAAGAGAGGAAACAGGCGUCGAAGCUCCCAGGAAGAAGCGAAUGCGCCUCCGUCGAGCUCCACAGAGAGCUUCACACAGCCCUCGGCACCGCAAAAUGGCAGCUCGAGGAAUUGGAGCGGGCGGUCAGGUCGAAUGAUGAUGCCUGUUUGGCGGGGGAAGAUACAAGAGCUCGGCACAGCCAAUUCCUGGCAGCAAUUGGAAAUCGGAUAUCAGUGAUGGAGAAUGCUUUGAAGGAAUCUAACAUCGAGGCGGGCGAGGCUGCACUGAGCUGGGUCCGAUUGGAUGAGCGAGAACGAGACGAGCUUGCUCGAUUCCUAUCCUGCCCUGUCUUAGAAAGAGAGGAGUCAUUGAUGAUUCCAUCUGUUGGUGACCUUGAUAAUAGGAACGGUAUGAUGAAAAUGAAUGGAGAGCCUUCUGUUGGCAGCUCGAAGAAUUCUUGCAACUCAAAUGAAUCGUAUUCAUGGGAAACGAGGGAGGAGAGGGUGCCCGGGCCUCGGAGGGCAGCAAGCGCCAGUGCUGAUAUCGGGGCAUGGAAGAUUUUGGUUCCCAGUGAGGGCGAGGAUACUUCCGAGAGAUCAUCUGAUGAUCGACCUAAUGCCCCCCCUCCAAGGAUACUUACCUUCUCUGUGUUAACUGGUGCUUUAGAAUCAACAUCUAGAAUGAAAUGGUACAAAAAUGGGUUCAGGAAGUGGAAAGCAAGGCACCAGCAUGAUGCGACAGACUCGAUCCCCUUACAAAAUCAUCAGGAAUUUAAUGGUUGCUAUGAGAGAAGUAAAAGUUGCCUUAGCAAUUGUGAAGAGGAGAAAUGUGAUAAGCAGCUUGAUGGGUGGGUUGGAGCUCUUCAAAGACAACUUCAAAGGUCUCAGUAUCAAAUUCAGUAUGGUCGGCCUAUUCAGAUUAUUCUUUGGGCAAUUCUUGCUGUCUUAUUGAUUGCAAUAUUUGCAUUUUGUGCUACUUAAAGGAGCUAGUGGAAAUUUUUCAUUGGUGUAUGGGUGUGGAGACAAAUUUGCUACUUUAACAGCUGAUAAGGAGCAACUGGCCACCUGAGCUUUCAAUGGAGAAAUGCUUGUGAGACAGCCAGCAGCAUGUUGCUGUGUUUCAAAGAACUGUAGUGGGUUCAAUGGAUGAAUGACAUCUGAUGCGGGAAAAGCACUUGUUUGAGACAGUCAAGUUGUUGGUGUGGUCUUUUGCUAAAAGGCAAGAAAAGAUACCAGAUUGAACGUAGUGUUCUGUUACUUCUGUACCUUUCUGAAGAUUUGGGAUCUUGACAUCCAUCUCAAGGUUUGCUCUUUCCCAUGGUUCCCUGCUAUUUAGCUACUUCCAGGAGUAACAAUAGGCUAUCCAAAGAAAGAUGGUAUUGGGGAAGGCAAGUUGGAGUUUGAUUAUCCCAGUUCAGAGGGCACAUUUGUCAGACAGGUGCUGUUUAAUUUGCUUAAUCUGAUGGCAUGCUGCUACCUCCUUCGAAGCUGUUGAUCCAGUUGAUUGUAUUUUAAUGUUGUUGUGAGAAUGCUACCUUCUUUAAUGUUCUCAGAUCCCAGAAAGUGCACUCUUUCUGUAACUCGGACAUUGAAAGUUACCACAUAAGGGUGGAUGAUGUGGUUUCACACAAAGGUGACUGAAACCAGAGCCUGUUGAAAAACAAUUCAAUUUUUUAAACUUGACAUUGAUUGUUGAUGAAUGUACCAUUACACAAAGGAAGUGCAUCAUCAACUACCAUGAGGAUUAGUUUGAUUUCUUGGCUUACAUCUGAUGUAUAUUUCCUUUUGUAUUUUCUGAUAGGACAGCUUGUUUGUACUCCUAACAUUAUUUCAGCCAAUAGAAUAGAAUAGAACCAAAAUUUUCACCAGCAA
Molecule: non-coding RNA, 2274 nt
Organism: Elaeis guineensis (African oil palm)
Lineage: Eukaryota; Viridiplantae; Streptophyta; Magnoliopsida; Arecales; Arecaceae
Source: RefSeq, a predicted model, not a curated record